UGACACAAACUUAAUACAUAUAACUAUCGUUUGGAUGAAAUUUUCCAAAUUGAUUUCAAUUGCUCAAUUCCAGUCAAUUAUCUUAUCUCCUCUUUAAACGGAUCCGAUCCACUAAAAUAAUUAAAUAUUCUAACUCAUACCAACUUAAACCUCUGAUAUGACCAAAAAGAGAGUUAAAAAUUUGACAUUCGUGAAUUGGAUUGAACUUUGAAGAAAGCUACAAUAGUUUCCAAUUAAUUUCAUGGGUAGCUAUUGAAUUGGAGUUGAAGUUUUUUUUCUUCUUCUUCAAUUAGAGAUGAAGUUUGAAGAACCAGUUGUUCAGCCAUUUCAAGAAAAGAAAAAAGAAGUUGGAGCUUGAUUUGAAAAUUUGAAAAUCAUUUAGAGAGGAUCAAUUUGAAGGAGAAGGCAGUUCACCAUUGAAGCUCGAUCGAAGGUCAAGCUUGAAAAAUCGAAUUGCUGCAAAUGAGCUCCGUUUGAGUGAAUAUUAUGGCAAAAGAUCGAAAACUUCAUGGAAAGUUUAUAUCUAAAAUUUAAAAUAAUUUGAUGAAUAA
Molecule: long non-coding RNA, 551 nt
Organism: Solanum dulcamara
Lineage: Eukaryota; Viridiplantae; Streptophyta; Magnoliopsida; Solanales; Solanaceae
Exons: 2
Source: RefSeq, a predicted model, not a curated record